Molecule: long non-coding RNA, 582 nt
Filed under: Ananas comosus (pineapple)
Lineage: Eukaryota; Viridiplantae; Streptophyta; Magnoliopsida; Poales; Bromeliaceae
Description: long non-coding RNA (ACOM_LNC023322)
Source: RNAcentral
UCUUCGCCCUUUCCCCCCACCCUCCGAGGGCAUUUUGGUCAAUGUAGGCCCCUGUGCAUGGUAUACGCUUUUUUUUUAUUCUAAGGCAAACAGGAUGGAGCCAGGCAAUGUUGAUGAGGCGAAGAGCUCUUCGUAUGGUGGGAUAUUUGUAGGUAUAUACGGGUAUAUACGGUUUGGUAUACGGAUCUACUACGGUCUAUGCUGGGUGUAUUCUUAGAUUGCGUAUGUUUAGGGGAUGAGGGGUUUUUGAAGUGAUCAAAUGGGUACUCUCACCAAAUUGGUUAAAAAUGGCGUUUUUUUGGAUUUUUGAAGUGGGUUUUUUGGAUAUGCCUGGUAGGUAUUUGUUGUUUUUCCCGUGAGAAGUGAUGAGGAAUACUUGUUGCGCCAUUGACCAUUUCUCUUACUUGGUUUCUUUUUUAAGGAUUUAAUGUAUUUGGUUCAAAUUUGCAGUCGCCAAAUUGGUUAAAAAUGGCGUAUUUGGAUUAUUUGAAGUAUGAGGAAUUCUUGUUGCUCCAGAACCCAUUUCUCUAAUUUGUUUCCCUUUUGAGGCAAUUAAUGUGGUUGGUUUUUGAAACGAUCAAA